Molecule: ribosomal RNA, 253 nt
Filed under: uncultured bacterium
Lineage: Bacteria
Description: partial 16S ribosomal RNA
Rfam family: Bacterial small subunit ribosomal RNA
Source: RNAcentral
UACAGAGGAGCCAAGCGUUGUCCGGAUUGACUGGGCGUAAAGCGCACGCAGGCGGUGGUGCGCGUGGGGUGUGAAAUCUGGCCGCUUAACGGCCAGGCGCCAUCCCAUACGGCACGACUGGAGGGCUGCAGAGGUCGAUGGAAUUGCCGGUGUAGUGGUGAAAUGCGUAGAGAUCGGCAGGAACACCCAGGAGGAAACCAGUCGACUGGGCAGCACCUGACGCUGAGGUGCGAGAGCGUGGGGAGCGAACCGG